UGGGGAAUAUUGCACAAUGGGCGCAAGCCUGAUGCAGCCAUGCCGCGUGUGUGAAGAAGGCCUUCGGGUUGUAAAGCACUUUCAGCGGGGAGGAAGGCGUUAAGGUUAAUAACCUUGGCGAUUGACGUUACCCGCAGAAGAAGCACCGGCUAACUCCGUGCCAGCAGCCGCGGUAAUACGGAGGGUGCAAGCGUUAAUCGGAAUUACUGGGCGUAAAGCGCACGCAGGCGGUCUGUCAAGUCGGAUGUGAAAUCCCCGGGCUCAACCUGGGAACUGCAUUCGAAACUGGCAGGCUAGAGUCUUGUAGAGGGGGGUAGAAUUCCAGGUGUAGCGGUGAAAGGCGUAGAGAUCUGGGGGAAUACCGGUGGCGAAGGCGGCCCCCUGGACAGAGACUGACGCUCAGGUGCGAAAGCGUGGGGAGCAAACAGG
RNAcentral lists this ribosomal RNA (429 nucleotides) under Chloroflexota bacterium. RNAcentral's name for it is "Chloroflexi bacterium partial 16S ribosomal RNA". It matches the Rfam family "Bacterial small subunit ribosomal RNA", at positions 355 to 776 of the family's 1533-position model. The record is from RNAcentral. Lineage: Bacteria; Bacillati; Chloroflexota.